This 300-nucleotide unclassified non-coding RNA is filed under the name uncultured Helotiales. RNAcentral's name for it is "sequence contains 5.8S rRNA gene, ITS2". The stretch from base 1 to 95 matches the Rfam family "5.8S ribosomal RNA", at positions 55 to 154 of the family's 154-position model. The record is from RNAcentral. Lineage: Eukaryota; Fungi; Ascomycota; Leotiomycetes; Helotiales.
GCGGCAGAUGUGUAUAAGAGACAGGUGAGUCAUCGAAUCUUUGAACGCACAUUGCGCCCCUUGGUAUUCCGGGGGGCAUGCCUGUUCGAGCGUCAUUAUAACCCUCAAGCCUAGCUUGGUGUUGGAGCAUGCCCUCUAGCAGCUCUUAAAACCAGUGGCAGUGCCUUCCGGCUCUAAGCGUAGUAACUUUUCUCGCUAUAGGGUCCGGAGGUCCGCUCGCCAGAACCCCCAAUUUUUCUAUGGUUGACCUCGGAUCAGGUAGGGAUACCCGCUGAACUUAAGCAUAUCAAUAAGCGGAGG